This is a non-coding RNA of Danionella cerebrum, 75 nucleotides long. Lineage: Eukaryota; Metazoa; Chordata; Actinopteri; Cypriniformes; Danionidae. The record is from the annotation of a GenBank genome assembly.
GCAGUCGUGGCCUAGUGGAUAAGGUGAUUGACUGGAGAUUAAAAGAACGCUGGUUAGAUCCCCAGCUCCACUGGG